Molecule: ribosomal RNA, 207 nt
Filed under: uncultured bacterium
Lineage: Bacteria
Description: partial 16S ribosomal RNA
Rfam family: Bacterial small subunit ribosomal RNA
Source: RNAcentral
CGCGUAGGUGGUUUGUUAAGUUGGAUGUGAAAGCCCCGGGCUCAACCUGGGAACUGCAUCCAAAACUGGCAAGCUAGAGUACGGUAGAGGGUGGUGGAAUUUCCUGCGUAGCGGUGAAAUGCGUAGAUAUAGGAAGGAACACCAGUGGCGAAGGCGACCACCUGGACUGAUACUGACACUGAGGUGCGAAAGCGUGGGGAGCAAACA